This is a long non-coding RNA of Dama dama (fallow deer), 449 nucleotides long. RefSeq lists it as uncharacterized. NCBI's taxonomy places the organism in Eukaryota, Metazoa, Chordata, Mammalia, Artiodactyla, Cervidae. The record is from RefSeq and is a predicted model, not a curated record. The transcript is spliced from 3 exons.
UGCUGCUAUGCCAGAAAGUGGAGUGGCCACUUCAAGACCAUGAGAUGACAAGCCAACCCUCUAAGUGGGGCAGAGCACAAAGACAGAAGAGACCCAGUGUUCCCACAGAUUUUUGCUUGGGAUAAAAGCCAGGAUGGAGAAACACAGAAGCCAAGUAGGAGGAGAAGCCCCAUUUUACAGAUGAGAAGACUGAGGCUCAGAGGACUUAAGGGACUGAGCCAAAAUCACAUACCCAGAAAGCAUAAAAGCUGGAUUGGAGUUCAGAUCUGGUUAAUUUCAAAGGGUCCCACCCCCAUGGGCUCUAACUUGUCCACUCGUGUCCACCCACCCGUCCAUCCUCCCGACCCACCCAGGGGGCACACAGGGACAACCUCCUGCCCCUGCUCAGUCAUCCCAAGGCCAACACACAUGUGCUUGUCCUCCAUCUCAGAUUAUGAAGGAAUUCUCUG